UACAGAGGGUGCUAGCGUUGUUCGGAGUUACUGGGCGUAAAGGGUGUGUAGGCGGUUGUUUAAGUUUGGUGUGAAAUCUCCCGGCUCAACUGGGAGGGUGCGCCGAAUACUGAAUGACUUGGAGUGCGGGAGAGGUGAGUGGAAUUCCUGGUGUAGCGGUGAAAUGCGUAGAUAUCAGGAGGAACACCGGUGGUGUAGACGGCUCACUGGACCGUAACUGACGCUGAGACACGAAAGCGUGGGUAGCAAACAGG
This 254-nucleotide ribosomal RNA is filed under the name uncultured bacterium. RNAcentral's name for it is "partial 16S ribosomal RNA". It matches the Rfam family "Bacterial small subunit ribosomal RNA", at positions 524 to 776 of the family's 1533-position model. The record is from RNAcentral.